Molecule: ribosomal RNA, 433 nt
Filed under: uncultured bacterium
Lineage: Bacteria
Description: partial 16S ribosomal RNA
Rfam family: Bacterial small subunit ribosomal RNA
Source: RNAcentral
AACGAACGCUGGCGGCAUGCCUAACACAUGCAAGUCGAACGAUCCCUUCGGGGAUAGUGGCGCACGGGUGCGUAACGCGUGGGAACCUGCCCUUAGGUUCGGAAUAACUCAGAGAAAUUUGCGCUAAUACCGGAUAAUGUCUUCGGACCAAAGAUUUAUCGCCUUUGGAUGGACCCGCGUUGGAUUAGCUAGUUGGUGGGGUAAAGGCCUACCAAGGCGACGAUCCAUAGCUGGUCUGAGAGGAUGAUCAGCCACACUGGGACUGAGACACGGCCCAGACUCCUACGGGAGGCAGCAGUGGGGAAUAUUGGACAAUGGGCGAAAGCCUGAUCCAGCAAUGCCGCGUGAGUGAUGAAGGCCUUAGGGUUGUAAAGCUCUUUUACCCGGGAUGAUAAUGACAGUACCGGGAGAAUAAGCCCCGGCUAACUCCGUG